GAAUCUGGGAGGACCAUCUCCUAAGGCUAAAUACUCUCUAGUGACCGAUAGUGAACCAGUACCGUGAGGGAAAGGUGAAAAGCACCCCGGAAGGGGAGUGAAAUAGAACCUGAAACCGUGUGCUUACAAGUAGUCAGAGCCCGUUAAUGGGUGAUGGCGUGCCUUUUGUAGAAUGAACCGGCGAGUUACGAUUUGAUGCAAGGUUAAGCAGUAAAUGUGGAGCCGUAGCGAAAGCGAGUCUGAAUAGGGCGUUUAGUAUUUGGUCGUAGACCCGAAACCAGGUGAUCUACCCUUGGUCAGGUUGAAGUUCAGGUAACACUGAAUGGAGGACCGAACCGACUUACGUUGAAAAGUGAGCGGAUGAACUGAGGGUAGCGGAGAAAUUCCAAUCGAACCUGGAGAUAGCUGGUUCUCUCCGAAAUAGCUUUAGGGCUAGCCUCAAGUGAUGAUUAUUGGAGGUAGAGCACUGUUUGGACGAGGGGCCCCUCUCGGGUUACCGAAUUCAGACAAACUCCGAAUGCCAAUUAAUUUAACUUGGGAGUCAGAACAUGGGUGAUAAGGUCCGUGUUCGAAAGGGAAACAGCCCAGACCACCAGCUAAGGUCCCAAAAUAUAUGUUAAGUGGAAAAGGAUGUGGCGUUGCCCAGACAACUAGGAUGUUGGCUUAGAAGCAGCCAUCAUUUAAAGAGUGCGUAAUAGCUCACUAGUCGAGUGACACUGCGCCGAAAAUGUACCGGGGCUAAACAUAUUACCGAAGCUGUGGAUUGUCCUUUGGACAAUGGUAGGAGAGCGUU
Molecule: ribosomal RNA, 793 nt
Filed under: Staphylococcus aureus
Lineage: Bacteria; Bacillati; Bacillota; Bacilli; Caryophanales; Staphylococcaceae
Description: partial 23S ribosomal RNA
Rfam family: Bacterial large subunit ribosomal RNA
Source: RNAcentral